AAUCGGUUCCCAUUGUCCCUCUCACUCUGGAUUCGAGUUCUACACAAGCAAAAAAACCCUUUGGUCAUCGGAUCGAGCCACGGGAACCAUUCGGCUCCUAACUUCUCCGAACUUUGAGAAGACUAGGAGUCAACGGCGGUGACAGAGGAGUUGGUGGAGGCAAACGGUAUGGGCGAUAGGACAAGUGUGGCUAGGGUUUUUCUUUUUUCUUUUCUUUUUUGUUUGUUGGUUUGGGCUAGGGUUAGGUUUUAGAUUGGGCUUUAGGGGUUAUAAAAUGGGCCAGGCAAAUUGGGCUUGUACACAUAUAAUAUAAAAGUUGGUGAUACAUAUAUUUAUGUUUUGUUAAUUUUUUAUAAUUAAUAUUUAAAAUAUUGUAUAAUUAAAUAAAA
This is a long non-coding RNA of Gossypium arboreum, 389 nucleotides long. RefSeq lists it as uncharacterized. The transcript has 2 exons. The record is from RefSeq and is a predicted model, not a curated record. NCBI's taxonomy places the organism in Eukaryota, Viridiplantae, Streptophyta, Magnoliopsida, Malvales, Malvaceae.